AAUGAACGCUGGCGGCAUGCCUAACACAUGCAAGUCGAACGAGACCUUCGGGUCUAGUGGCGCACGGGUGCGUAACGCGUGGGAACCUGCCCUUAGGUUCGGAAUAACUCCCCGAAAGGGGUGCUAAUACCGGAUAAUGUCUUCGGACCAAAGAUUUAUCGCCUUUGGAUGGGCCCGCGUUGGAUUAGCUAGUUGGUAGGGUAAAAGCCUACCAAGGCGACGAUCCAUAGCUGGUCUGAGAGGAUGAUCAGCCACACUGGGACUGAGACACGGCCCAGACUCCUACGGGAGGCAGCAGUGGGGAAUAUUGGACAAUGGGCGAAAGCCUGAUCCAGCAAUGCCGCGUGAGUGAUGAAGGCCUUAGGGUUGUAAAGCUCUUUUACCCGGGAUGAUAAUGACAGUACCGGGAGAAUAAGCUCCGGCUAACUACGU
This 432-nucleotide ribosomal RNA is filed under the name uncultured bacterium. RNAcentral's name for it is "partial 16S ribosomal RNA". It matches the Rfam family "Bacterial small subunit ribosomal RNA", at positions 29 to 506 of the family's 1533-position model. The record is from RNAcentral.